CAAACUGGAGAUGGCGACCGGCGCACGGGUGAGUAACACGUAUCCAACCUGCCGAUAACUCGGGGAUAGCCUUUCGAAAGAAAGAUUAAUACCCGAUGGCAUAAUAGAACCGCAUGGUUUGAUUAUUAAAGAAUUUCGGUUAUCGAUGGGGAUGCGUUCCAUUAGGCAGUUGGUGGGGGUAACGGGCCCACCAAACCUUCGAUGGAUAGGGGUUCUGAGAGGAAGGUCCCCCACAUUGGAACUGAGACACGGUCCAAACUCCUACGGGAGGCAGCAUG
RNAcentral lists this ribosomal RNA (278 nucleotides) under uncultured bacterium. Its description in RNAcentral is "partial 16S ribosomal RNA". It matches the Rfam family "Bacterial small subunit ribosomal RNA", at positions 77 to 353 of the family's 1533-position model. The record is from RNAcentral.